Molecule: long non-coding RNA, 1282 nt
Filed under: Capsella grandiflora
Lineage: Eukaryota; Viridiplantae; Streptophyta; Magnoliopsida; Brassicales; Brassicaceae
Description: long non-coding RNA (CGRA_LNC001146)
Source: RNAcentral
GGACCUCGUUGUGGUAGACGACAUAGAGAAGCUGUGGCAUGUCGAGAUGGAAGGUAAAGUCGUGGCUGCUCCCGAGUACUGCCACGCAAACUUCACCUAUUAUUUCACAAAAGCUUUCUGGUCAGACCCGGUAUUGGUCAAAGUACUCGAAGGGAAACGCCCGUGUUACUUCAACACAGGGGUGAUGGUCGUGGAUGUUAACAAAUGGAGGAAAGGAUCGUACACACAGAAGGUGGAAGAGUGGAUGACAAUUCAGAAGCAGAAGAGAAUAUACCACUUGGGAUCAUUGCCUCCGUUUCUGCUGAUAUUCGCGGGUGAUAUCAAAGCGGUUAACCAUAGGUGGAACCAGCACGGUCUAGGAGGGGAUAAUUUCGAAGGAAGAUGCAGAACGUUGCAUCCUGGUCCGAUAAGUCUUCUUCAUUGGAGCGGAAAAGGGAAGCCAUGGUUGAGACUAGAUUCAAGAAAGCCUUGUAUCGUUGAUCAUCUAUGGGCUCCAUAUGACCUAUACCGUUCGUCAAGACAUUCGUUAGAAGAGUAGAGGGCAAAAGAGAAAACAUUUUUAACCAUGGCACAUACAUACAUAUAUAUAUAAUAGGAGAGGAGAAGAUACAACAAAGCAGGGGUUUUUAGCGACGAUCAAAGAGAGCCAAACAUUUUCAUUACGAGUGAAAAAAAAGUGUAUUGUUAACACAUUGUGCAUUUGAGCUGAGAGUGUGUUCUUCAAGAGAUGGUACUAUCAUCAUCAUCAUCAUUCUUUUUUUCACUCUCUUUGACUUAACCUUUAGAAUAUUCCGCGUGUAAUAUACAUAGGUACAAAAAAAAAAUUGGAGGAUUAAAUUGAUCAUUCUUUUUUGUUCUAAUUCAAAAUCUCUCUAGUAUCUGAUACUAUAAACAGAGCAUCGAAAUCAUCUAUUCCUCUUUAGAAGUCAUCGAAAUUUCGAAACUUUAUCACAAAACAGAACGAUCCAACACAGACAGAAACAAGCUACACCGUUUCGAAUUCCGUGAUCGAAGUCAGCAUAACGACUACAGGAGGAAAAUUUACAGGAAUACACUAUUACCUGGAUAAGGCGAUAGACACGUCUAGAUUCUGCAGCGUUCGAGUGAAAAAAAGUGAUGGCUCUUCGAUACAGUAGUCAUAACCUUUUCUCUCUCUCUGCUCAGGUCGGGUUUGGACAGAAGAAGAUUUGGUUUGGUAUAUAUGUUCGGAAGAAACAUAGAUUCUCUGAUAGCCGGAUUCGAUUUGUAUUUUCCGGGGAAGAAUAAAUGUGUUUCCUUUUUG